UACGGAAGGGGCAAGCGUUGUUCGGAAUCAUUGGGCGUAAAGGGCGCGUAGGCGGUCGCGUGUGUCUGCUGUGAAAGCGCACGGCUCAACCGUGUGAAGUCGGUAGAAAUUGCGGGACUUGAGGCUGGGAGAGGUUGGCGGAAUUCCCUGUGUAGCGGUGAAAUGCGUAGAUAUAGGGGAGAACACUCGUGGCGAAGGCGGCCAGCUGGACCAGCCCUGACGCUGAGGCGCGACAGCGUGGGGAGCAAACAGG
RNAcentral lists this ribosomal RNA (253 nucleotides) under uncultured bacterium. Its description in RNAcentral is "partial 16S ribosomal RNA". It matches the Rfam family "Bacterial small subunit ribosomal RNA", at positions 524 to 776 of the family's 1533-position model. The record is from RNAcentral.